This is a long non-coding RNA of Oncorhynchus tshawytscha (Chinook salmon), 1056 nucleotides long. Lineage: Eukaryota; Metazoa; Chordata; Actinopteri; Salmoniformes; Salmonidae. The record is from Ensembl.
GUAAAAUAUGUUUGCACUGAAAUUAAUACUUUUCACUGCAGCGAACAGAAUAGUUGUCAGUAACGCUAAAGGUCUACUCGUGACUCUUAUAAUUCUUACAAUUGUCAGAUCAAUGUAGACCUGAUAGGGGUCUUUGGAUUUCUAAAAGUGAAAGUGAAAUUGUACUGGGAAAAGGAAGGCUAUUUUGCUUGGGUGGGUAGGCCCAGGAGUGUAACUACAUUAUUUUUCUACAACAUUGUUUUUACAUUUUACACGGUCCACUUUGACCUGCCAACCUCCCAGCCUGCCACACCCUACCCUGCCUCACCAACCUCCCAGCAGUCUGACCAUGUUCAGCCGAACAUCUCCCGAGGACAGGAUCCAGUUCAACCCAGGAUACCUCCCUAAUCUCCAGUUCUGAUAGACUCUAAUAGGAAGUAUCUGGAAGAUAGGAGAAUUUCCCCAGAUACCAGAUGGCUAAAUGCUGGUGUACCACAACUGACAACUAGUGCACUACAACUGCUCUAUCAAGUCAAGCUGGAAAAUCCUGACAACCUUGUCAUACAUACUGGGACAAAUGACCUGCGCACAAAAGGUGAAAGAGUGGCUGAGGAAGUGAGAAAGAUCUCCCCCAGCAAAUUAUCCAAAAUGUCUACCAAGAAAUCACCAUGGAGCUGCUCCUCACUACCAAAUGUCAGCGUCUCUCACCACCACACCCUGACAUGUGAACACUUGUAUGGCCAUGUGCAACUGGACCAUGAGGGAGUCAGAAUCUUUGCCAAGGACCUGAAGAACGCCACGUUAGGCUGAGUUCCACAAUCAAACCAGGUCAGCCACCAAGCCCCCCCCCCCAAUCUCCAAGGAGAGAGAGGAGGCCAAUCUCAUCUCAGCUGAUCCAGACACAGACAUCUCCAGCCCCUACCAAAACAAAUCACAUUUUAUUUGUCACAUGUGCCGAAAACAACAGGUGUAGACCUUGAAGUGAAAUGCUGACUUACAAGCCCUUAAUCAACAAUUCAGUUUUAAGAAACAUAAAUGUUAAAAAGUAUUUACUUGAAUAAAAACCAUGAGCUGGCG